AUAAUAAUAAUAAUACUACUACUACUACUAAUAAUAAUACUAAUAACAAUAAUAAUAAUAAUAAUAAUAAUACUAAUAAUAAUACUAAUAAUAAUACUAUUAUUACUAAUAAUAAUAAUAAUAAUACUACUAAUAAUAAUAAUAAUAAUACUAAUAAUAAUAAUGAUGCCCUAAGUGGUACCGUUAACGGGAUUUUCAACAGUACUAAUGUCACUAAUGAUAACAGUGUUAAUGGAAUUGAUAAUGUUACUAUCAACGGCAAUAGCAACAACAAUAACACUGGUAAUAAUAAUAAAAUGAACUAUAUACAAUAUACCAAUGGUAUGAACAUUUCAAAUAAUAAAAAUAAUGAAAAAAAUGCUGAGAGUAACAAUAUGUUAAUUACAAAUGUAGCCCCAUCUACUGUAACACCUAAUACCAGUUGUAACACUCGUGAUAAUAACAUAAACAGCGAUAAGGAAAACAACGGUAAAGAAAACAACAAUAAAGAAAAUAACAAUAAAGAAAAUAACAAUAAAGAAAAUAACAAUAAAGAAAAUAACAAUAAAGAAAAUAACAAUAAAGAAAAUAACAAUUUCCAAGAGAAAAAUGACACACAAACUGAAUUAUACAAUACCCCAAACACAUUGUUGAUUAAUAAAGAAAACAACGGCUUAUGUAAUAACGCUCAUAAAACUGAUACUACUCAACCCAAAUUAGAAGGUAAUGCAAAUGGUGUAAAUUGCGUAAUAGAUUCGGAUUGUAACACUAAUCAAAUUCCUACAAAAAAUUUAAUUAGUUCCAAACAUGAUAAACUAAAUGAAUAUAAUAACGAAAGUAAUAGCCAGGACAGCCUGAAUAACCAGAACAACCAGAAUAACUUAUCAAGCAAUAAUGACAAUGUUGUAGAUUAUAAGAAUGAAACAAAUUUCAUUAAAAACGAUUUGAAUCAUUUAAAAAAAACAAGUACAAUCAAGACACAUAACACAAAAGAUAUUACCCAAGAAAUAUUGCAUACCCUGGAAACACGUGGAGGAUUUAUAAAAAACAGUAUGGGGUAUAUACAGAAUUAUGAAAACAUUAAUUCUGGUUCGAGUGAUCAAGUGUCAACUAAAAGUAAACUAGUUAACAAUGAACAAACUAAAAGUAUACACGAUACAAAUAACAAUAAUUACGAACAAAGUAUAGACCUAAUAAAACGUGUACCAUUUCAUAACAAUAAAGCAGCUGAAAAUGUUUUUCCUUUUAAUUCGGCCGCAAAUAUAAACGUAAAUAACAAAUUAGCUUAUAUACUAAAUAAUAUACAACCUCUAUUUAACGUAAAUAACGAAUUAGAAAAUUAUAACAA
RNAcentral lists this long non-coding RNA (1327 nucleotides) under Piliocolobus tephrosceles (Ugandan red Colobus). RNAcentral describes it as "lncRNA (ENSPTEG00000010612.1)". The record is from RNAcentral. Lineage: Eukaryota; Metazoa; Chordata; Mammalia; Primates; Cercopithecidae.